GAUGAAGAACGCAGCGAAAUGCGAUAAGUAAUGUGAAUUGCAGAAUUCAGUGAAUCAUCGAAUCUUUGAACGCACAUUGCGCCCAUUAGCAUUCUAGUGGGCAUGCCUGUUCGAGCGUCAUUUCAACCCUUAAGCCCUGUUGCUUAGCGUUGGGAGCCUACAGUACUGUAGCUCCCCAAAGUUAGUGGCGGAGUCGGUUUCACACUCUAGACGUAGUAAUUUUUUCUCGUCUGUAGUUGAGCCGGUCCCCUGCCGUAAAACACCCAAUUUAUCAAGGUUGACCUCGGAUCAGGUAGGAAUACCCACUGAACUUAAGCAUAUCAAUAAGCGGAGGA
This 335-nucleotide unclassified non-coding RNA is filed under the name soil metagenome. RNAcentral's name for it is "partial contains 5.8S ribosomal RNA, internal transcribed spacer 2, and large subunit ribosomal RNA". The stretch from base 1 to 120 matches the Rfam family "5.8S ribosomal RNA", at positions 35 to 154 of the family's 154-position model. The record is from RNAcentral.